AUACGUAGGUGACAAGCGUUAUCCGGAUUUACUGGGCGUAAAGGGCGUGUAGGCGGUCUUGCAAGUCUGGAGUGAAAGUCCUGUUUUUAAGAUGGGAAUUGCUUUGGAUACUGUCGGGCUUGAGUGCCGGAGAGGUAAGUGGAAUUCCCAGUGUAGCGGUGAAAUGCGUAGAUAUAAGGAAGAACACCAGUGGCGAAGGCGGUCUACUGGACAGUAACUGACGCUGAGGCGCGAAAGCGUGGGGAGCAAACAGGAUUAGAUACCCUGGUAGUCCGCACAGUAAACGAUGGACACCCGCGGUUUGGCCUAUAUGGCUGAGCCGCCAAGCGAAAGCGUUAAGUGUCCCACCUGGGGAGUACGCCGGCAACGGUGAAACUUAAAGGAAUUGACGGGG
RNAcentral lists this ribosomal RNA (394 nucleotides) under uncultured bacterium. RNAcentral's name for it is "partial 16S ribosomal RNA". It matches the Rfam family "Bacterial small subunit ribosomal RNA", at positions 523 to 918 of the family's 1533-position model. The record is from RNAcentral.